This is an RNA transcript of Zingiber officinale, 2907 nucleotides long. It is a transcript of the gene named mitochondrial import inner membrane translocase subunit TIM22-4-like, with no coding region annotated. The transcript is spliced from 6 exons. The record is from RefSeq and is a predicted model, not a curated record. NCBI's taxonomy places the organism in Eukaryota, Viridiplantae, Streptophyta, Magnoliopsida, Zingiberales, Zingiberaceae.
CUUCACCUUAAACAGCUGUGCCUUGCUCGAUCUUCGCCGAGCGUAGUUUCGUUAAAUUCGGCGCCCUGCCUUCUCCUCCGUUUUAUGCAUGGCUACUGCCGAUGGAGAAGCUCCUAGGCCGGAGGAGCGCCAGAUAGAGCCGCUGCAUCUACCGACGCCCGAGGAGAUCCGAGGACAGGACAUAUGGAACAACUGCGCCGUCCGGAGCGUCGCCAGUGGCGUCAUGGGUGGUGGACUUGGUUUAUUCAUGGGCAUGUUUCUUGGGGCUCUGGAUAACCCUAUAAUGCAGGAGGAGAUGACUACCAAGCAGCAAUUAAUAUUUCAAGCAAAACAAAUGGGUCGCAGAAGUAUUAGCUCUGCAAAGGCAUUUGGUAUCAUGGGCCUCAUCUUUUCAGCUGCUGAAUGUGUUGUUGAGAAGACUCGAGCGAAACAUGACACCACAAACACAGUUGUUGCUGGUUGCGUUACAGGAGGGGCUAUUUCUGCAAAAGGUGGUCCAAAGGCUGCGUGUGUUGGGUGUGCUGGCUUUGCAGCAUUCUCAGUCGCAAUUGAGAAGUUCCUUGAUAGGCAUUCGUAAGCAUGUGAUAGAAAUCGAUAAGUGAAUUCAAAUUGUUUUUGGUUGAAGUAUCUUCCAUAGCCUCUUCAUGAACCAGCACAGUCCAGAUUUUUUUGGUAUAUAUUUCUAUCUUCCAAUUUAUCAAGCCAGGCAACAGAGAUGGCGCCAAGUAGAGCUAUUUAUCCAAAAUUCUCCUUUCAUAUUUGGUACCUAUGAAUCAAAUUUCCGACGCCCAGCCUUACGUUUAUUCUGUUGGAUCCGUGAAAGAAUAGAUUGUUUCUUAGGCUUGACACCGAAAAGGAAGUCCCGCAAUGAUUUAGUGGUCAGACCUGCAGGAAGCUCAGCAGUGGAGUUCUCCACACCGAACAUUGAGUUUGAUGUGGCUUCAAGCUUUUGUUGACUAUUCAAAGAAUCUUCAACAGUGGCAACAUCACCCUCGAGGUAGCAUUUAGAACUUUUCUCAAUAGAAGUUUCUUCAACAGUGGCAGUAUCAUCCUUGAUAUAGCAAUCAGAACUUUUCUCAAUAGAUGGCCUCAGUUGUCGUAGAUAACAUAUCUCCUCGUCUUUUGUUGCAAUCUCAUCUUUCAAUUCCCCUAUCAGAGCCAUGGUCUCUUGAAUAUAGUCUUCGUUGCUUUUCUCUACUUCAGAGAGCCUUCUUUUUGUCUCAUUGCAGUUUUGCAAGAUAGAUGUGAAUUCAGCCAGUAAUAUAUGUUCUUUACCUUCUACACCAUUCUUAAUUAAUUGCUUCAAUUUAUGAGUAUCUUCUCCCUCGUCAAGUAUGAUUCCGGUAUCAUCAAUUCUUUCUGAAGAAAUUUCACUUUGGGAAUUUGCUUGCGUCUCAGAAGGACAAGGUAUUUCAGCCACUGCAUUAUCCUCACCCUUUUUCGUCUGCUCACUGUCAACAAAAGCGUCAUCUUCCUCCGAGGAUGAAUCCCCGCUAUGAAACUGAAGCACCUUCAAAAUACCAUUAAGGCUAUGCCAGGUUUCCCUGCAGUUUUCAAGGAAGUUUGUUUCCUCAUUUUGAACCAUUUUCUGAAUCGCAUCUACUUUGCUUACCUCCUCUUCGGCUUCCUUCAAUCUACUUGACAUCUCAUCUGACUCAUGAGCCAGAAUUGUUUGCUCCUCCCUUUCCAAUGUUUCUAUGCAUUUGUCAAGCUCAUCAUUUUCAUACUUUAAUCGAUCAAUUUGUAAAGUUUGUGAUGAAACCGUUAGUUCCAGUGUGAUGACUUUAUUAGCAAGCUCUUCAAUCUUUUCUGUAAUUUCUAUCACAUGAUUUUCUGGGUCCGUUUCGUAAUGUUCCUUGAUCUUCCCACGCACCGACUGCAACAUGUUCAUGGCCUUGUCUAAAGGAGUUUCUUCCUCCGAGUUUUCAGCUGCCUGACUUGUCUCCAAGUCUUUCUCUGUAUCUUCUGUCUCAGUUCGUCCAACCUCACGCUUGAGAACCUUGAGCUUCUCUUUUGCGAGUUUGCUUCUCGCAGACUGUAUUUUUGUUUGUUCGGAUAACUUCUUUCGCUGCUCCUUCAACUUCCCAAUUGUAUCCUCACAAGAUUGAAAAACUGUUUGAGUCAUCAAGGCCCGAGCUUCGUUAUCGUCGAUCAUCGCGCUCGUGUCAAACUCUUCCUGCAGAUUGCAAACUUUUUGUUGCAUCUCCAUGAUUUGCUUCUCGACCUCCCAAUAUUUAGCUAUCCCUAACUCGUACGAACUUUUGAUAAAUUCUUUCUCCGUCUGCAGAACCAGUAUCCCCUUCUGAAGCUUGUUUAUGUCUUCCCGCACCUUUUCCUUAUCAAUGGGUGCACUCUUUUUCUUCGAUUUCUUCCCAGAUGGCUCGCUCUCUCUUUUCUUCUUCAGCAAUCCCAUGACUGUGCGUUUGUUGAUUUUAUUCGGAUUGAUUGGGGUUAUUGCUUUCGGAAGACUAUCCUCGUCCUCUAGCAUGGCAUACUGGACUCGAUCGGGAAAGGAAGUCGAUAUCGUGUGGUUGGCCUUGUGUAAUUCUCCCGAAAUAUGAUCAUAUCUUUCAGCCAAAGCUCUGUAUGACCUGUAGGCAUCUUCCACAAAACUUAUUAGUUCCGGUCUUCGUUUGAAAUACAACUCCGCUCGCUUAGCGAAAGAAUCUGCAUCUGGUUCAAUGAGCUUCAGCAUCUUCUUCACAGUGUCUUCCAUCUCUGUGAGCAAUGUAUUGUUUCCACUAUCAUACAAGGGCAUACAAAUGCAACUCGAAGCAUCAUAGGGGUUAGUAAUUAACUAUGACUUCCACAACAAAUGUUUAUUUAUUUAUUUAUUUUGCAUGUUUUAAGGGAUGCUCCUAACUAAAUUCCUUAAGAUUAUCUUAGAAAAAUAAGCAUUAUAUAUUU